UACGUAGGAUCCAAGCGUUGUCCGGAUUUACUGGGUGUAAAGGGUGCGCAGGCGGACUGAUAAGUUAGGGGUGAAAUCUCUCGGCUCAACCGAGAAACGGCCCUUGAUACUGUCGGUCUUGAAUUGGGGAGAGAGUUAUGGAAUUCCGAGUGUAGCAGUGAAAUGUGUAGAUAUUCGGAAGAACACCAGUGGCGAAGGCAGUAACUUGGCCCCACAUUGACGCUCAGGCACGAAAGCAUGGGGAUCAAACAGG
This 253-nucleotide ribosomal RNA is filed under the name uncultured prokaryote. RNAcentral describes it as "partial 16S ribosomal RNA". It matches the Rfam family "Bacterial small subunit ribosomal RNA", at positions 524 to 776 of the family's 1533-position model. The record is from RNAcentral.